GUCCGAAAGAUGGGCACUAGGAUCACUUAUUAUGACAUUCAACUUAGAAAGAGCCUCUCUAACAAGUGGUUUAAACACAGAUCCACCAAACUCUGCACAAACACCCCAACCCCAUAAACAGCUGCCUGACGAACAUCUGGAUUUUCAUCAUUGCAGGCCUCCAAAAGGAAAGGAACAUAAGUAUCAUAAUAUUUAAUAGCUGCUUCCCGGCAUGUAUUUAAGAGCUGCUUCCUGGCACUGCUCCACAACAUCAUCAAAUAUACAAAUGGCAAUUCUCCUCUCUUCUGCUGU
This 291-nucleotide unclassified non-coding RNA is filed under the name Hevea brasiliensis (rubber tree). The record is from RNAcentral. Lineage: Eukaryota; Viridiplantae; Streptophyta; Magnoliopsida; Malpighiales; Euphorbiaceae.